AAAACUAAUAAAUCUUUACACACAAGUUAUGUUAAAUAAGAAAAUAAAAUUGUCAUCCGACUCACUGCGAAAAAGAAAGGAUUGGAGUUCAAUGUGGUAUCUGGAUUAUGGAUUGUCUCUUGUGUUUGGGGCACUAACUAAUUUUCUGGAUUGUCUACAGGAUUCUUCUUACAGGAAAUUGAACUGCUUGUUCUUCGGAAAUAGGGUCUUGGAUGAUCUCGAAAUAGGUUGUAGGAUGAUUCUCUUUUUAUUUUAAUAUCACAUACAUUGGAGUACACGCCAAAUUUCAACAAUGAG
This 297-nucleotide long non-coding RNA is filed under the name Onthophagus taurus. RNAcentral describes it as "uncharacterized LOC111418004". The record is from RNAcentral. Lineage: Eukaryota; Metazoa; Arthropoda; Insecta; Coleoptera; Scarabaeidae.